UUGGAGGGCAAUCGGUGCCAGCAGCCGCGGUAAUUCCAGCUCCAAUAGCGUAUAUUAAAGUUGUUGCAGUUAAAAAGCUCGUAGUUGAAUUUCGGGGUUAGUAGGUUGGUCAUGCCUCUGGUAUGUACUGGUCUCACUGAUUCCUCCUUCCUUAUGAACCGUAAUGCCAUUAAUUUGGUGUUGCGGGGAACUUGGACUGUUACUUUGAAAAAAUUAGAGUGUUUAAAGCAAGCUAACGCUUGAAUACAUUAGCAUGGAAUAAUGAAAUAGGACGUUCG
Molecule: ribosomal RNA, 278 nt
Filed under: uncultured Glomus
Lineage: Eukaryota; Fungi; Glomeromycota; Glomeromycetes; Glomerales; Glomeraceae
Description: partial 18S ribosomal RNA
Rfam family: Eukaryotic small subunit ribosomal RNA
Source: RNAcentral